UACGGAGGGUGCAAGCGUUAUCCGGAUUCACUGGGUUUAAAGGGUGCGUAGGUGGGCAGUUAAGUCAGUGGUGAAAUCUCCGGGCUCAACCCGGAAACUGCCAUUGAUACUAUCUGUCUUGAAUAUCGUGGAGGUAAGCGGAAUAUGUCAUGUAGCGGUGAAAAUGCUUAGAUAUGACAUAGAACACCAAUUGCGAAGGCAGCUUACUACCCGAAUAUUGACACUGAGGCACGAAAGCGUGGGGAUCAAAACAGG
RNAcentral lists this ribosomal RNA (255 nucleotides) under uncultured bacterium. RNAcentral describes it as "partial 16S ribosomal RNA". It matches the Rfam family "Bacterial small subunit ribosomal RNA", at positions 524 to 776 of the family's 1533-position model. The record is from RNAcentral.